RNAcentral lists this ribosomal RNA (1650 nucleotides) under Triticum aestivum (bread wheat). Its description in RNAcentral is "partial small subunit ribosomal RNA". The record is from RNAcentral. Lineage: Eukaryota; Viridiplantae; Streptophyta; Magnoliopsida; Poales; Poaceae.
AUCUCUAACUUCCCCCGCUCCCCCUCCCCCUGUUUUUCUUCUCUCUGCGAAAAUCCAAUAAGAAAUCUUAAAGUUUUAGUUUCUGUUUUUUCGGGUGUGCAAUCGAUUCAUAUUUUCCUGUCCGAGAUGCUUGAAUCUGUCUGGUUUCUUUUAAAAAAGGAUGAACCUCAGAAUCCCUGCAGCUAGGGUUCUUAUCAGCUCGGCAGCCACUGGUGUAGCUGUGUAGCCAACAAAUUGGUGCUGGUUCCCCAUUUCCUCAGACUAUAUGGCUGAGACAGGAGAUGCAGGUCGCUUGCCAACAUCCCUUGAUGUGCUGGCUUCAGAUGUUCACUCCAGGCUGGAGUUCCACAGGUAUGCCUUCAUGGACUGUGUUGGCAUAAAAAAUGCGCUUCACUGUGUCAUCGAAGAAAGGGAAAACCUCCAGCAACGACAGAAUGCGAUUGACCAACUGGUUGCUGAAAAGGACAGCCUCACUAAAAAGAAUGAAGAGCUGGCAGCAGAACUUGAAUCUCUGAAGGAACAGCUCCAAGCAAGGGAAUCGAGCGAUCAACAGCAGGGAAGUGGUUUUCAGCAGAGCCACUCUGGAAUGGCACACCCAAGAUUAAUGCCGAAAAGGAAACGGCAAUCUGGAGAUGAAGAUGUUGAUGAGCAUGAGCUUAUGGAAGAUCUUUCCGUUAUAGAUAAUCCUGAUCAAGUUUUAAACACUGAGCUCGAGGCUACUAGAAAGGAAAUUUCUGAUAUCCACUCUAAGCUGAUUGAGGGGUUCACUGAUCUUAGUACUACUGGAGGAAGGAAUAUCGCCCUAAAAAACAUAGGGCAAUUGGAUGACAGGCCAUUCCUGGCGGCAUGCCGUAAGAAGCUGCCUGCCGAAGAAGCAAGAGAAAAAGCUAAAGAAGUACACCGUGUUUGGCAGGGGCAUAUACAGAACCCAGAGUGGAAUCCCUUCAAGACUGUCACAGUUGAAGGUAUCCCGAAGGAGAUUAUUGAUGUCGAUGAUGACAAGCUGCAAGGGCUAUGUGCUGCAUGGGGUGAAGGGGUGCACAAGGCUGUGGUGAGUUGUUUGGUAGAAAUUCAAGAAAGUGGCAGGCUGGGAGAUAGAAACAUUGUACCCGAGGUCUGGAAUUACAAGUGCAAGAGAAAAGCCACUCACAGUGAGAGCAUCGAGUACUUGUUCGGUCAAGUGAAGCGUCUGAGUGACGCGAAAUCCAGAACCCGCAGCGCAAGAUGACCUUGUAGGGGCGUGGUGGUGCAACAGGAUGAUGACCCACAGUGGCUAGGUAGAACCAGUCUGAAGGAUUAACUAACUCAUGGUGAAGAACUGAAGACUGGAAUUGUCUAUGAAACGCAUCGCAGAACAAUGUUGGGAGUUAUGUGUUAUGUAUAUCUGUUUGGUACCCGUUUAUAACCUCUGUUAGAGUGCCGGUAUUAAGCUUUUGCGUGCAACUCUUUUACCAGCAUAUCAGAACAAUGUUUCAGUAUUCUGCUAGACUCAGCGGUAUCUAGUUUAGUGUGAACUCUGAAGUUCGAUAUUUAACGUGCAAGACGUUUCUAUGAAUGGCUCAAUGUUUGAAGUAACAUGUGUCUACAUUUUCGUACAAAGAUGCACAUUUUCUUUGCUAUGGAAAAAUAAUAAUCCGGUGGCAAAUAACC